UACGUAGGGGGCAAGCGUUGUCCGGAUUUAUUGGGCGUAAAGAGCGUGUAGGCGGCCUGGUAGGUCUGCUGUGAAAACUCGAGGCUCAACCUCGAGAUGUCGGCGGAAACCAUCUGGCUAGAGUCCGGAAGAGGAGAGUGGAAUUCCUGGUGUAGCGGUGAAAUGCGCAGAUAUCAGGAGGAACACCAAUUGCGAAGGCAGCUCGCUGGGACGUUACUGACGCUGAGACGCGAAAGCGUGGGGAGCAAACAGG
Molecule: ribosomal RNA, 253 nt
Filed under: uncultured bacterium
Lineage: Bacteria
Description: partial 16S ribosomal RNA
Rfam family: Bacterial small subunit ribosomal RNA
Source: RNAcentral